AUUGAACGCUGGCGGCAGGCCUAACACAUGCAAGUCGAGCGGAUGAAGGGAGCUUGCUCCUGGAUUCAGCGGCGGACGGGUGAGUAAUGCCUAGGAAUCUGCCCGGUAGUGGGGGAUAACGUCCGGAAACGGGCGCUAAUACCGCAUACGUCCUGAGGGAGAAAGUGGGGGAUCCUCGGACCUCACGCUAUCAGAUGAGCCUAGGUCGGAUUAGCUAGUUGGUGGGGUAAAGGCCUACCAAGGCGACGAUCCGUAACUGGUCUGAGAGGAUGAUCAGUCACACUGGAACUGAGACACGGUCCAGACUCCUACGGGAGGCAGCAGUGGGGAAUAUUGGACAAUGGGCGAAAGCCUGAUCCAGCCAUGCCGCGUGUGUGAAGAAGGUCUUCGGAUUGUAAAGCACUUUAAGUUGGGAGGAAGGGCAGUAAGUUAAUACCUUGCUGUUUUGACGUUACCAACAGAAUAAGCACCGGCUAACUUCGUG
Molecule: ribosomal RNA, 484 nt
Filed under: uncultured bacterium
Lineage: Bacteria
Description: partial 16S ribosomal RNA
Rfam family: Bacterial small subunit ribosomal RNA
Source: RNAcentral